AUGCAAGUCGAACGAAUUGUAGCUGUAGUUUACUAUGGGUACAGUUAGUGGCAGACGGGUGAGUAAUGCAUAGGAAUCUGCCUAGUAGUAUGGAAUAGCUGUUAGAAAUGACAGGUAAUACCGUAUAAUCCCUGCGGGGGAAAGAUUUAUCGCUAUUAGAUGAGCCUAUGUUAGAUUAGCUAGUUGGUAAGGUAAUGGCUUACCAAGGCUAUGAUCUAUAGCUGGUCUGAGAGGACGAUCAGCCACACUGGAACUGAGAUACGGUCCAGACUCCUACGGGAGGCAGCAGUGGGGAAUAUUGGACAAUGGGCGCAAGCCUGAUCCAGCUAUGCCGCAUGAGUGAAGAAGGCCUUAGGGUUGUAAAACUCUUUCAGCAGGGAAGAUAAUGACGGUACCUACAGAA
RNAcentral lists this ribosomal RNA (403 nucleotides) under Neoehrlichia mikurensis. RNAcentral describes it as "bacterial SSU rRNA". It matches the Rfam family "Bacterial small subunit ribosomal RNA", at positions 55 to 486 of the family's 1533-position model. The record is from RNAcentral. Lineage: Bacteria; Pseudomonadati; Pseudomonadota; Alphaproteobacteria; Rickettsiales; Anaplasmataceae.